UACGUAGGGGCCUAGCGUUGUCCGGAAUUAUUGGGCGUAAAGGGCUCGUAGGCGGUUUGUCACGUCGGUUGUGAAAGCCCGGGGCUUAACCCCGGGUCUGCAGUCGAUACGGGCAGGCUAGAGUGUGGUAGGGGAGAUCGGAAUUCCUGGUGUAGCGGUGAAAUGCGCAGAUAUCAGGAGGAACACCGGUGGCGAAGGCGGAUCUCUGGGCCAUUACUGACGCUGAGGAGCGAAAGCGUGGGGAGCGAACAGG
Molecule: ribosomal RNA, 253 nt
Filed under: uncultured bacterium
Lineage: Bacteria
Description: partial 16S ribosomal RNA
Rfam family: Bacterial small subunit ribosomal RNA
Source: RNAcentral